UGGCAAAUGGAGCAUUGGUUGGACUACAUUCGUAUCAUUAGAAUCGUUUAGAUUCGAAUGCAUGCAGUAGUUUAUUUGCAAUUCAUUAAAAACACCGGGCAAAACAAAAUAUACAACGCCUCAUGAAUCCGUUGUUUAUAGAAGAUCCUGAAUCUGCGUUUGCAGCCGCUGCGCUUCAGGUCGAAGACGAUGGGACGACGAUAUUAUCUAUAACAUAAUCCAGUUGACAUUUUACUGUUCCAAUUGCAUUUGUCAGCUUCAAAAUUUUUUUGUCGUGCUCCUGCAUUCCUAAUUGUAUUUGAUUCAUCAUUCCUAACACCUUGUAAAUUUUUCCAUUGAGUGAAGCCAGUGUUAUCUCUGGAUUUUCGCUAGCCUGGUUUUCCAUCGCUGAUACGGCUGUGGUUUAAAAAUUAGUUGUUUUAAAAUUCAUUCGACCACAAAGUCAUUCUAUCAUUUUAUUUACCUUUUUUCACUUUUUUCUAGCUCUAUUCUCCAAGGCGUGCGGGAAUAAUUGUUUGCUCCAAUCAGUCCAAAAAACGAAGACCAAAUAAAAUUUUCCAUCGUUUUGAAACCCAUACGUGCCAACCGUUCUACUGGCCUCGCUACACGAACCGAAAACUCGAGGCGAAAACUCAAAAAUCGGAAAUCUUUAUGUCAAAAAGAUUUCGAGUCGUAUAGACGCGUUUUGUGCACCACCGAAAACACAAAGCCGCUGUCAAUUGAAGCAAGCGAAAACUUUCUGUCAGUACUGUCUGUUCAAAUGUUUGUUUACAAGCAGAAUCGUUUACGCGUUGUUAUCGAUUGUGUAUAAAUUUAUCCGGAUAAAAAUGGAUACUCUUUUAAUGAGUGAAGAAUGGUUGGCAUCGCUAUCGUGGGCGGUAGAACGUGGAACAGCUAAGGGGUCGCAACCAGCGAAUUGUGCGAAGCUGGUGGAUGCGACCAAUGUUUUUUCAGCGACGUCAAGACGGCAACCGUUUGUUGGAUGAUAUUG
Molecule: long non-coding RNA, 991 nt
Organism: Anopheles arabiensis
Lineage: Eukaryota; Metazoa; Arthropoda; Insecta; Diptera; Culicidae
Exons: 3
Source: RefSeq, a predicted model, not a curated record